AACGCACCUUGCACCCUUUGGUAUUCCGAAGGGUAUGCCUGUUUGAGUGUCUUGAACAUCUCACAACCAACGAUUUGUUCUUCGGAACGAGUGGUCGGCGGUGGUAUUGAGCGAUGUUGCCAGCGGUGGCGCCCGUCUUCGGACGACGGCACGGAUUGGCUCGCUUCAAAUAAAUUAGCUAGCGCUUUCCUCGGCGACGACAGCAUGCGUGAUAAUUUUUUCUCGAAUGUGAUGCGUCGGACGGGGGCGCACGGACUUGUGCCGUGUGUCGGCCAGCUUCUGAAAAAACCAAGACUGGGGAUCGGGUAACAGCGAUCUCCCCACACUUCUUAGACCUCAAAUCAGGUAGGACUACCCGCUGAACUUAA
RNAcentral lists this unclassified non-coding RNA (368 nucleotides) under uncultured fungus. Its description in RNAcentral is "partial contains 5.8S ribosomal RNA, internal transcribed spacer 2, and large subunit ribosomal RNA". The stretch from base 1 to 52 matches the Rfam family "5.8S ribosomal RNA", at positions 103 to 154 of the family's 154-position model. The record is from RNAcentral. Lineage: Eukaryota; Fungi.